RNAcentral lists this long non-coding RNA (385 nucleotides) under Elaeis guineensis (African oil palm). RNAcentral's name for it is "long non-coding RNA (EGUI_LNC024787)". Lineage: Eukaryota; Viridiplantae; Streptophyta; Magnoliopsida; Arecales; Arecaceae. The record is from RNAcentral.
GAAUAGAUUUGUAAAUUUAUGUAUGACUAAAAAAUUUAAACAAUAUUUUUUAAUUAAUUUUUUUAGAUAAAUAAAUUAUUGAAUAUUAUUGCCUCAAUCAAGAAAAAUACAACGGACCACGUAGGCCGAAUGUUCAUGCGGGAGCUUGCCUAAUCGCAGCAGCUUGUUGCUCUUCUCAUUGCUGAUGCCACUGCCGUAAAUGGUAAUUAUAUUAGAGCUUAUUGUUUACUUUUAGGUAUGAGAUUCGUCGCCCUUUUACCAGAAGAGACAAAACGUGUGGCCGGAAGGCAACCUCAUUUAGUAUGACAACAGUAUAUUACGUGGGCAUGUAAAUGAUGGAGCAAUGCUAUGGGACACCCUUGCACAUGAAGCUCUCCUACCAUGC